UCCGCGGUAGCUCAAUGGUGGAGCGGCUGGCUGUUAACCAGUAGGUUGCAGGUUCGAGUCCUGCCCGCGGAG
RNAcentral lists this transfer RNA (72 nucleotides) under Elusimicrobiota bacterium. Its description in RNAcentral is "Elusimicrobia bacterium (hot springs metagenome) tRNA-Asn". It matches the Rfam family "tRNA". From Rfam's summary of the family: Transfer RNA (tRNA) molecules are approximately 80 nucleotides in length. Their secondary structure includes four short double-helical elements and three loops (D, anti-codon, and T loops). Lineage: Bacteria; Pseudomonadati; Elusimicrobiota. The record is from RNAcentral.